GGUUAAUGAACUUGUAUAAAGUUUAUAUUUUGAAAAUAUACUAAAGGAUUUUCCUAUUAACUC
This 63-nucleotide transfer RNA is filed under the name Curculionoidea sp. 1 KM-2017. Its description in RNAcentral is "tRNA-Ser". Lineage: Eukaryota; Metazoa; Arthropoda; Insecta; Coleoptera. The record is from RNAcentral.